This 798-nucleotide ribosomal RNA is filed under the name uncultured bacterium. Its description in RNAcentral is "bacterial SSU rRNA". It matches the Rfam family "Bacterial small subunit ribosomal RNA", at positions 8 to 796 of the family's 1533-position model. The record is from RNAcentral.
AGAGUUUGAUCCUGGCUCAGGAUGAACGCUAGCGGCAGGCUUAAUACAUGCAAGUCGAGGGGCAGCAGGGGUGUAGCAAUACAUCUGCUGGCGACCGGCAAACGGGUGCGGAACACGUACGCAACUUACCCAUAACUGGGGGAUAGCCCGGGGAAACCCGGAUUAAUACCUCGUAAGAUAAUGGAGUGGCAUCACUUUAUUAUUAUAGCUCCGGCGGUUAUGGAUGGGCGUGCGGCUGAUUAGGUAGUUGGUGCGGGUAACGGCCCACCAAGCCAUCGAUCAGUAACUGGUGUGAGAGCACGACCAGUCACACGGGCACUGAGACACGGGCCCGACUCCUACGGGAGGCAGCAGUAAGGAAUAUUGGUCAAUGGACGCAAGUCUGAACCAGCCAUGCCGCGUGAAGGAUGAAGGUCCUCUGGAUUGUAAACUUCUUUUAUAUGGGACGAAACCCGGGAAUUCCUUCCCGAUUGACGGUACCAUAGGAAUAAGCACCGGCUAACUCCGUGCCAGCAGCCGCGGUAAUACGGAGGGUGCAAGCGUUAUCCGGAUUCACUGGGUUUAAAGGGUGCGUAGGAGGGCAGGUAAGUCAGUGGUGAAAUCCCAGAGCUUAACUCUGGAACUGCCGUUGAUACUAUCUGUCUUGAAUACCGUGGAGGUGAGCGGAAUAUGUCAUGUAGCGGUGAAAUGCUUAGAUAUGACAUAGAACACCAAUUGCGAAGGCAGCUCACUACACGAAUAUUGACUCUGAGGCACGAAAGCGUGGGGAUCAAACAGGAUUAGAUACCCUGGUAGUCC